AGCGCCCUGGGCGCGCGCGCUCCGAGCGUGCGUGCGUGCGUGUGAGUGAGCACGUGAGGGCCCGGAACGUGCACAGGGGGAGGGAGCAGGAAACGGGAGGCGAGGGGCGGGGCCGCCGUUGCCAUGGCAGUGACGUCAGGCGUCGGAGAGCGAACCCGCCCCAGCCCCACGCGCGCGCGCGCACACAGAGACAUGCACACGCGCGCGCACCGCCGCUCUCCCUCAGACACACUGGAGGGAAAGGUCAAACUAAAGGCGAGGGAGCGGGGAGGCCGGAGGGAGCCGCCGCCGCCGCCGCGCGCCAUGACGGACGCGGCCGAGGCUGCUUUCUCGCCGCCGACACCGCCGAGCCGCUGCUCUCGCCGCGCCCCCUGCCCCCGCCCCCCGUGCCCCCCUCCCCCCCCCGGCUCUCGCGCGUCCCCGCGCCCCCUCCCCACGGCGCUCCGGGCGCGCGUCGGGCCUGGGGCGCGCUCCGGGCGGGCGCGGGCGCGGGUGCGGGAGGGUGGGGGCCGCGGCGGGCGGCCGGCCUCCUCGCGCGACCCCCGGUCCCUCCGCCCCGUCCCCUGGGCGAGAGCCCGCCAGGUUGUGACAGCUGCCGUCACAGAGGAGAUGUCUGAAGGAGUCUUCUGUGAAGGAUAAGAGAACACCCAGGACACCUGGUUACCAGCCCCGUUGUGGAGUGAGAACAGAAGUUGAACAGAGAUCUGGAAAAUGCCCGUAUGUAAGGAGCCGGUGAGACAAGAACCCAGAAGGGAAGCUGAGAAGGAAUCAUUGGAAAGGGUUGAGGACCAAGAGCAAAUAAAUGUUAGAGAAGCCAGCUCCUUAUUAGUCA
RNAcentral lists this long non-coding RNA (832 nucleotides) under Felis catus (domestic cat). RNAcentral describes it as "lncRNA (ENSFCAG00000049393.1)". Lineage: Eukaryota; Metazoa; Chordata; Mammalia; Carnivora; Felidae. The record is from RNAcentral.